CGAGUGCGAAAAACGGUGAUGAGUGACUUUUUUUCAGUGCCAUUGUAACUCCGAACGGUCACUAAACAAACCGUUGUUAGCAACACCUGUAUCUUCGUUUGGCUCCUUAAUAAUAAAACUUUCCCUUACAAUUUUGAUUAGGCACUUUCCAAUGAAAAAGUAUGUGUUUGUGUGUGUUUGUGUGUAUUUGUGUGUGCAAGCACCGGUCUCUUCCACAUCGAACAGGUAGUCCUCGACUUACAACCACAACGGAGCCCAAAUUUUCUGUGUCUAAGCGAGACAUCCAUUCAGUAAGUUUUGCCCUAUUUUUUUGCCACGGUUGUUAAGCGAAUCACCACAGUUGUUAAAUUAGUCCCCCGGUUGUUAAGGGAAUCUCGUUUCCUGUUGACUUUUCUCAGAAGGUCGCAAAAGGGGUUCAGGGAUACUGAAUAAGGUCAUAAAUGUGAGUCCGUUGCCAACCACCCGCAUGUAAAUCACGUGACCGUGGGGGAUGCCGCAACAGUCGUAAGUCUGAAAAAUGGCCAAAUAAGUCAUGUUUUUCAGCGUUGUCACUUCGAACGGUCGCUAAGUGUAACCGUCGUAAUUCGAGAACUUCUGUACAACCAAUAUCAUGUGUGUGUUUUCUCUCCAUUUCAGAUCAGGCGUUUUAUUCCCGUUCUGGUGCCACGCGACGCCAUCCGGAACAGAUGAAGCUACUGACCUUCGGCCGAGGGGAGUCGAUGGUCUCUCCCUCUUGCUGUCUUUGGCAAUGGUAGAACUCACACUGGUGAGCUAUCUGGUUCCGGUGGUUCUAGACUUGCCAACUACCGCCUGGGGGCUUAGCCACUGCUUUCUCCCUUUCCCUCCGGACCACCAAGGGGUUGAUGGUCAAGCUUCAAGGAUGACCGAAGAGCCAACCGGCAUCUCACCUCCUGGGUCAGUGGCUGGAGCAGAUCUUUCGGCAAAACAGAUCCCGACCCAUUCUGUGUCUGUGAAGAGUUGGAAGGGUCCUAAAAGAUCAUCUAGUCCUACCCCCUGCCUGGAUGCCAUAGGCUGAUCUUUCUAUUGGCUCGUCAACUUUUAACCAUUUCAUUUUUGCUGCUGUCUUGCCCAAAUGUAUUUCCUUGUAAUUCAAAUAUAUUAUCUCUUGCCUUGAAAAAUUGUUAAUAAAUGAAUGGAUAAAUAAAUGAUUGUAUCUG
This is a non-coding RNA of Pantherophis guttatus, 1178 nucleotides long. NCBI's taxonomy places the organism in Eukaryota, Metazoa, Chordata, Lepidosauria, Squamata, Colubridae. The record is from RefSeq and is a predicted model, not a curated record.